Long non-coding RNA from Xenia sp. Carnegie-2017, 511 nucleotides. RefSeq lists it as uncharacterized. The record is from RefSeq and is a predicted model, not a curated record. NCBI's taxonomy places the organism in Eukaryota, Metazoa, Cnidaria, Anthozoa, Malacalcyonacea, Xeniidae. The transcript has 3 exons.
GAGGAUGGGACAGAGAAGCACGCUGCUGUUUUCAAUUACAAACGUUCCACAAUCAAAGAAAAGAAAACGCGGUUAUAUAAACACAUUCUCGUGCAUGGAAGUCAGCCUAAUCCAUAAACUUAUCACUGAAAAGGAAAGCUCUUGAAUUGAUGAUCUGCAAACUGACUUGAUCAUUCCUUUGGUCUUAAUAUUCUGGUUUACGAGGAAAAAAGGCUUUUAAAAACCUUCUUCAGUGGAUGCCCACAAGAUGAGCAAGAUGAGCAAGAUGAGCAAAAAGUUGCUAGAAGAUGCAACAACAAAACUUGCCCAUUUUACUGCUCGCAAAACACGUCAACUUUCAUCACAUUCACUAAUAAUCAUGAAUUCCAGUUUAAUAUCAAUAAAGAAAAUUUAAUUUAAUUAAAAAUAUCUAGUAUAAAUGUUGAUUUGGCAGAAAUUAAUGCAAAUGUUAUACAGCUUUUAGAAUAUUAUCCAAUUAUUAAAAUAUUACGAUCACAGUUUCUGCUGAAAA